GCCGGGGUGGCGGAAUUGGUAGACGCGUUGGUCUCAAAAACCAAUGAGGCUUUCCUCGUGCCGGUUCGACUCCGGCCCUCGGCACAA
RNAcentral lists this transfer RNA (87 nucleotides) under Fidelibacterota bacterium. Its description in RNAcentral is "tRNA-Leu". It matches the Rfam family "tRNA". Rfam says of the family: Transfer RNA (tRNA) molecules are approximately 80 nucleotides in length. Lineage: Bacteria; Pseudomonadati; Fidelibacterota. The record is from RNAcentral.